AUUGAACGCUGGCGGCAUGCUUUACACAUGCAAGUCGAACGGCAGCACGGGCUUCGGCCUGGUGGCGAGUGGCGAACGGGUGAGUAAUAUAUCGGAACGUACCCAGAAGUGGGGGAUAACGUAGCGAAAGUUACGCUAAUACCGCAUACGAUCUAUGGAUGAAAGCAGGGGGCCGCAAGGCCUUGUGCUCCUGGAGCGGCCGAUAUCUGAUUAGCUAGUUGGUGAGGUAAAGGCUCACCAAGGCGACGAUCAGUAGCUGGUCUGAGAGGACGACCAGCCACACUGGAACUGAGACACGGUCCAGACUCCUACGGGAGGCAGCAGUGGGGAAUUUUGGACAAUGGGCGCAAGCCUGAUCCAGCAAUGCCGCGUGAGUGAAGAAGGCCUUCGGGUUGUAAAGCUCUUUUGUCAGGGAAGAAACGGUAGAGGCUAAUAUCCUUUGCUAAUGACGGUACCUGAAGAAUAAGCACCGGCUAACUACGUG
Molecule: ribosomal RNA, 484 nt
Filed under: uncultured bacterium
Lineage: Bacteria
Description: partial 16S ribosomal RNA
Rfam family: Bacterial small subunit ribosomal RNA
Source: RNAcentral